GUCGGGCGAUAGAUAUAUUAACUUGGUCCGUGCAAUUUCUGUUCCAGCAACUUGCAUUUGCAUAUGCAUUUGCAUCGCCAGCUGCUGAUGCGCUUAUGUCAUCGCCAUUUGGUUCAACGAUUCGACAAGCCUUGUUCGAUGUGCCUUGGUCGCCAGUUGUAAGUUACUAUUUGAGUCGCCAGAAUGAUUCCAUCGCUGCGUUCUUCCGUCACCUGGCUUGUGGUGCUGUUGGUCCUUCUGAUGGAAUUGGUUGAGGUGUGGUCUGUCUGCUGCUCCUGUCCAGCCAGACGAUGCUCCAUUCCCCAGUGGCCGUGCUGCGGCCGGAACGCCAAGUGGUAUAGUUUCAUAUAUGCUUAAGGAAUGAAGUUAAUAAACAGCAAGUGGAGGUAUUUUUAAAGUGUAAUAACAUCUUGGGUU
RNAcentral lists this long non-coding RNA (417 nucleotides) under Drosophila melanogaster (fruit fly). RNAcentral describes it as "long non-coding RNA:CR44198". The record is from RNAcentral. Lineage: Eukaryota; Metazoa; Arthropoda; Insecta; Diptera; Drosophilidae.